Molecule: ribosomal RNA, 2442 nt
Filed under: Clostridium butyricum
Lineage: Bacteria; Bacillati; Bacillota; Clostridia; Eubacteriales; Clostridiaceae
Description: partial 23S ribosomal RNA
Rfam family: Bacterial large subunit ribosomal RNA
Source: RNAcentral
AGAACCUGAAACCAUGUGCCUACAACCGAUCAAAGCACCUUAUGUGUGUGAUGAUGUGCUUUUUGUAGAACGAGCCAACGAGUUACGGUAUGUAGCGAGGUUAAGUACUUAAGGUACGGAGCCGAAGGGAAACCGAGUCUUAAUAGGGCGACUAGUUGCAUGCUGUAGACCCGAAACCGGGUGACCUAUCCAUGGCCAGGUUGAAGCGAGGGUAAAACCUCGUGGAGGACCGAACCACGUUGCUGUUGAAAAAGCAUGGGAUGAGCUGUGGAUAGCGGAGAAAUUCCAAUCGAACUCGGAUAUAGCUGGUUCUCCUCGAAAUAGCUUUAGGGCUAGCGUCGUGAAAUGUGAGUACUGGAGGUAGAGCACUGAAUAGGCUAGGGGGCAUAGCGCUUACCGAACCUUAUCAAACUCCGAAUGCCAGAUACUAUCAGCACGGCAGUCAGACUAUGAAAGAUAAGUUCCAUGGUCAAAAGGGAAACAGCCCAGAUCGUCAGCUAAGGUCCCAAAGUGUAAGUUAAGUGGAAAAGGAUGUGGGAUUUCUAAGACAACUAGGAUGUUGGCUUAGAAGCAGCCACUCAUUAAAAGAGUGCGUAAUAGCUCACUAGUCAAGAGAUCCUGCGCCGAAAAUGUCCGGGGCUCAAACUUACCACCGAAGCUACGGGUUCACACUUAUGUGUGAGCGGUAGAGGAGCGUCGUAAUCGGGCUGAAGUCGUACCGUAAGGAGCGGUGGACUNUACUUUGUAUGAGCGGUAGAGGAGCGUCGUAAUCGGGCUGAAGUCGUACCGUAAGGAGCGGUGGACUGAUUACGAGUGAGAAUGUUGGCAUUAGUAGCGAGAUGUAGGUGAGAAUCCUACAGGCCGAAUAUCUAAGGUUUCCUGAGUAAAGUUUGUCUUCUCAGGGUUAGUCGGGACCUAAGGCGAGGCCGAGAGGCGUAGUCGAUGGACAAUUGGUUGAUAUUCCAAUACCACUAUAAUCGUUAUUAUCGAUGGUGUGACGGAGAAGGAUAGGAUGUGCCAGCUAUUGGAUGCUGGUCUAAGCGUUGAGGGAGUUAGAACAGGCAAAUCCGUUCUAACAAUCCUAGGGCGUGAUGGGGAAGGUUCCACGGAACCGAAGUAUCUGAUUUCAUGCUUCCAAGAAAAGCAUCUAGAAAGAGAAGUAGUGCCCGUACCGCAAACCGACACAGGUAGAUGAGGAGAGAAUCCUAAGGCCGACGGAAGAAUCACAGUUAAGGAACUAGGCAAAUUGACCCCGUAACUUCGGGAGAAGGGGUGCCUACCAAUUGGUAGGCCGCAGAGAAUAGGCACAAGCAACUGUUUAACAAAAACACAGGUCUCUGCUAAAGCGUAAGCUGAUGUAUAGGGGCUGACGCCUGCCCGGUGCUGGAAGGUUAAGGGGAACACUUAGCGCAAGCGAAGGUGUGAACUUAAGCCCCAGUAAACGGCGGCCGUAACUAUAACGGUCCUAAGGUAGCGAAAUUCCUUGUCAGGUAAGUUCUGACCCGCACGAAUGGCGUAAUGACUUGUGCACUGUCUCAACUGUGAAUCCGGCGAAGUUGUAGUGCGAGUGAAGAUGCUCGCUACCCGCGAUUGGACGGAAAGACCCCGUAGAGCUUUACUGUAGCUUAGCAUUGAAUUUCGGUAUUGUCUGUACAGGAUAGGUGGGAGACUGGGAAAUUAGGGCGUCAGCCUUAAUGGAGUCGUUGUUGGGAUACCACCCUGAUAGUAUUGAAGUUCUAACUGGAUGCCAUGAAACUGGUGACAGGACAUUGUUAGGUGGGCAGUUUGACUGGGGCGGUCGCCUCCUAAAAUGUAACGGAGGCGCCCAAAGGUUCCCUCAGAACGGUCGGAAAUCGUUCGUAGAGUGUAAAGGCAUAAGGGAGCCUGACUGCGAGACCUACAAGUCGAGCAGGGACGAAAGUCGGGCUUAGUGAUCCGGUGGUACCUCGUGGGAGGGCCAUCGCUCAACGGAUAAAAGCUACCUCGGGGAUAACAGGCUGAUCUCCCCCAAGAGUUCACAUCGACGGGGAGGUUUGGCACCUCGAUGUCGGCUCGUCGCAUCCUGGGGCUGAAGUAGGUCCCAAGGGUUGGGCUGUUCGCCCAUUAAAGCGGCACGCGAGCUGGGUUCAGAACGUCGUGAGACAGUUCGGUCCCUAUCCGUCGCGGGCGUAGGAAAUUUGAGAGGAGCUGUCCUUAGUACGAGAGGACCGGGAUGGACUGACCUAUGGUGUACCAGUUGUUUCGCCAGAAGCAUAGCUGGGUAGCUAAGUCGGGAAGGGAUAAACGCUGAAAGCAUCUAAGUGUGAAGCCCACCUCAAGAUGAGAUUUCCCAUAGCAUAAGCUAGUAAGACCCCUUGAAGACUACAAGGUUGAUAGGUCAGAGGUGUAAGUGCGGUAACGUAUUUAGCUGACUGAUACUAAUAGGUCGAGGGCUUGACCAAU